This 253-nucleotide ribosomal RNA is filed under the name uncultured bacterium. RNAcentral describes it as "partial 16S ribosomal RNA". It matches the Rfam family "Bacterial small subunit ribosomal RNA", at positions 524 to 776 of the family's 1533-position model. The record is from RNAcentral.
UACGUAGGGACCAAGCGUUGUUCGGAUUUACUGGGCGUAAAGGGCGCGUAGGCGGCGUGACAAGUCACUUGUGAAAUCUCCGGGCUUAACUCGGAACGGUCAAGUGAUACUGUUGUGCUAGAGUAUAGAAGGGGCAAUCGGAAUUCUUGGUGUAGCGGUGAAAUGCGUAGAUAUCAAGAGGAACACCAGAGGCGAAGGCGGAUUGCUGGGCUAAUACUGACGCUGAUGCGCGAAAGCUAGGGUAGCAAACGGG